AUUGAACGCUGGCGGCAGGCCUAACACAUGUAAGUCGAACGAACUCUUCGGAGUUAGUGGCGGACGGGUGAGUAACACGUGGGAACGUGCCUUUAGGUUCGGAAUAACUCAGGGAAACUUGUGCUAAUACCGAAUGUGCCCUUCGGGGGAAAGAUUUAUCGCCUUUAGAGCGGCCCGCGUCUGAUUAGCUAGUUGGUGAGGUAAAGGCUCACCAAGGCGACGAUCAGUAGCUGGUCUGAGAGGAUGAUCAGCCACAUUGGGACUGAGACACGGCCCAAACUCCUACGGGAGGCAGCAGUGGGGAAUCUUGCGCAAUGGGCGAAAGCCUGACGCAGCCAUGCCGCGUGAAUGAUGAAGGUCUUAGGAUUGUAAAAUUCUUUCACCGGGGACGAUAAUGACGGUACCCGGAGAAGAAGCCCCGGCUAACUUCGUGCCAGCAGCCGCCGUAA
RNAcentral lists this ribosomal RNA (449 nucleotides) under uncultured bacterium. Its description in RNAcentral is "partial 16S ribosomal RNA". It matches the Rfam family "Bacterial small subunit ribosomal RNA", at positions 30 to 523 of the family's 1533-position model. The record is from RNAcentral.